GGUGAACGCUGGCGGUAGGCCUAACACAUGCAAGUCGAACGGCAGCACAGUAAGAGCUUGCUCUUACGGGUGGCGAGUGGCGGACGGGUGAGGAAUACAUCGGAAUCUACUUUUUCGUGGGGGAUAACGUAGGGAAACUUACGCUAAUACCGCAUACGACCUACGGGUGAAAGCAGGGGAUCUUCGGACCCUGCGCGAUUGAAUGAGCCGAUGUCGGAUUAGCUAGUUGGCGGGGUAAAGGCCCACCAAGGCGACGAUCCGUAGCUGGUCUGAGAGGAUGAUCAGCCACACUGGAACUGAGACACGGUCCAGACUCCUACGGGAGGCAGCAGUGGGGAAUAUUGGACAAUGGGCGCAAGCCUGAUCCAGCCAUACCGCGUGGGUGAAGAAGGCCUUCGGGUUGUAAAGCCCUUUUGUUGGGAAAGAAAAGCAGCAGGUUAAUACCCCGCUGUUCUGACGGUACCCAAAGAAUAAGCACCGGCUAACUUCGUG
This 492-nucleotide ribosomal RNA is filed under the name uncultured bacterium. RNAcentral describes it as "partial 16S ribosomal RNA". It matches the Rfam family "Bacterial small subunit ribosomal RNA", at positions 28 to 507 of the family's 1533-position model. The record is from RNAcentral.